UAGAAAUGAAACAAAGGGGAAAGUUUUGAUAAGCAGAGAUGAAGGUGCGGAAAGAGGACAGGGCAAGAGGAAGAACGUUGCACGAGGAAGAACCUGGCAGAGGCCAAUCAGUCAAAAAAAAAAGGAAAAACUGUGGCAAGGAAGUAUAUCUAAGGAAGCAAAGAAGGAAAAGAUGCAACUGCUCACCUGGCUGCCACAUCAUUUUCUUUGUCCCACGUGUACCAAUACCAAGAAAACAGGAACAAAAAAUUGAGGCUGAAGGACUGGACAAUCUGUGUCAGUCAUUUAAAUGAAAAAAUAAAGUUCAUUUCCAG
This 314-nucleotide long non-coding RNA is filed under the name Gallus gallus (chicken). Lineage: Eukaryota; Metazoa; Chordata; Aves; Galliformes; Phasianidae. The record is from RNAcentral.